Molecule: long non-coding RNA, 1864 nt
Organism: Triticum dicoccoides
Lineage: Eukaryota; Viridiplantae; Streptophyta; Magnoliopsida; Poales; Poaceae
Exons: 2
Source: RefSeq, a predicted model, not a curated record
UUCAUUAUCUAUUAGAAGACGAACGACCUCGCUCUCCCCCGCUAAUCGCUAUCCGCAUCCCUGUCUCUUCCCAUUCUCUCGCCCCUCCACUUGAUCUUCUUCAACACGAUGCUCCCCUGUUUCCGUAGCCCACCCAACCAUGGAGUACAUCCUCACCGUGUAGGAUCGAAGCAAUAUCAUGCUUGCUGUCUGCCGUCGUUCAAGAUCCAAGCAGCAGCCCCGCCGAGAAGGUUGUUCUAGCCGUCCUCCGCCCGGCCGGAUCACGGCCGCUACACAACAGUCCCCAUCUGCCGCCGCACCUAAUGGGUUCCAGACCCGCUCAAGAGCUUAAUCGCUACUGCCUGCUGGGACGGACUCUCUCUCUCUCCCUCCGUCCCCCUCUCUCUCUCUAUCUCUCUCUCUCUCUUAGUCUAUUUGUGUGCGGUGGCUUCCAUGUACUUCCUCCGUUCCGAAUUACUUGUCUUAGAUUUGUCUAGAUAUGGAUGUAUCUAGCACUAAAAUGAGUCUAGAUACAUCCGUAUCUAGACAAAUCCAAGACAUGUAAUUCAGAACGGAGGGAGUAGCUGUUUAUGUUCUGUAUAUACAUCAGCUUGAAUUUUUUGGUGUAAAUCAGGAUCUUCAAUUAUGUCUGAUGAGUAUUACUAGUUUAUCAUCUUUUAAAUGUCACCAGCGCCUCAAUUUGGGAAAUGCUUUCCAUCUCCUGUUAUGCACCGACCCCUCCGGUUAUACUGAGUGCAUCCUCUACAACAAUUCUUCACUAUCAUGCUCCGCUGUUACGACCAGUAUUACAGACUUUUAUCAUGUUUUAAAUGUCACCGUUGCCUCAAUUUGGGAAAUGAUUUGCAUCGGCCCCUCCAGGCUAUAGUGAGUGCAGCCACUACAACCAUUCUUCACUAUCAUGCUCUGCUUUUACGACCAAUUAUCCCUCAGGUUGCUUUCCUGACCAUGCUUUGCUUCCAUUCAGUAUGGUCGAUUUGUGGAACUCCAAAGACAGUAUGUUAUAAAAUGGUACAUCAUUUUUAUUUUCAUGUUUUUACCAGUUAUUUUUAUUUUCAUGUGUGGUGAUUCUCAGUCAUGUAGGUGAGUAAUAAAGAACGAAAUACCAAUGUGUUUGGAUAAGUACUAGUCCGUCCUUUUCCUUAUAUCAAUGCACUUCACAGUGUCUGCCAACAUGAAGGUUAGUAUUUGUUUUCUUUACAUUUCAUUGUGCAUAUAACCUGUAGUACUAGAGCUUUUCUAGCUUCUCAUGUUGCUACAGUUCCUGAAGUUUUGGACUCAAAUUUUUUGCAAUUUGUUCUUUCUGAAUAUGCUUGCAGUGACGACUAUGUACUGAAAAUGGAAACCUGGUCUACGACAGUGUUUUACAGAACAUUUUAAUUAAAUAUUAUGGCAUCACCAUUUGCUGUUUUGCAGAUCUCCACAUUGGAUUUAGUAACUAUUUCUCUGCAUCAUUCAUUUCAGUUGGGGGUCUAAAUGGUACAUGCAAACAAUAUCAAUAAUUUCUUACAUAUUGCCUUUUUUGUGGAAAUACAUGUUCCCUUUUGUUUUGGAAAUGAUAAAUUAUUUUUGUUUGAAAUAACGCUUGAUGUUCUUUGCGUACAAAAGGAAAUUAUCAAUUGUAAAGAGCUACUCCCUCCUUCCACAAUACAUGCCUUCCAUUUGUCAAUAUAUAGAUGUAUCUAGACAUGUUUUAAUAUAUAGAUACAUCUAUUUUUGGACAAAUGGAAGUCAAGUAUUUUGGAACGGAGGGAGUACAAGUGAAUGCUUAUAUCAGAUUUUAUAAGAGUUCUUUCAUCUAAGGUUGGAACAUGAAAUGUCAUGUAAGCUUUAUUUUGAAGACAAUUAUUUUAAGUGGCAUUAUUUA